CAGCCGCCGCGGUAAUACGUAGGUGGCGAGCGUUGUCCGGAUUUAUUAGGCGUAAAGGGAGUGUAGGCGGUCUUUUAAGUCUGAUGUGAAAGCCCACGGCUCAACCGUGGAGGGUCAUUGGAUACUGGGAGACUUGAGUGCAGAAGAGGAGAGCGGAAUUCCAUGUGUAGCGGUGAAAUGCGUAGAUAUAUGGAGGAACACCAGUGGCGAAGGCGGCUCUCUGGUCUGUAACUGACGCUGAGGCUCGAAAGCGUGGGGAGCAAACAGGAUUAGAUACCCCUGUAGUCCCUGUCUCUUAUAC
RNAcentral lists this ribosomal RNA (301 nucleotides) under uncultured bacterium. Its description in RNAcentral is "partial 16S ribosomal RNA". It matches the Rfam family "Bacterial small subunit ribosomal RNA", at positions 509 to 807 of the family's 1533-position model. The record is from RNAcentral.